GGCCCCGUCGCCAAGUGGUAAGGCAGCGGUCUGCAACACCGUUAUCACCAGUUCGAAUCUGGUCGGGGCCUCCA
This 74-nucleotide transfer RNA is filed under the name Desulfuromonas sp. RNAcentral's name for it is "tRNA-Cys". It matches the Rfam family "tRNA". Rfam says of the family: Transfer RNA (tRNA) molecules are approximately 80 nucleotides in length. Their secondary structure includes four short double-helical elements and three loops (D, anti-codon, and T loops). The record is from RNAcentral. Lineage: Bacteria; Pseudomonadati; Thermodesulfobacteriota; Desulfuromonadia; Desulfuromonadales; Desulfuromonadaceae. RNAcentral also lists the same sequence under 2 other names.